This 253-nucleotide ribosomal RNA is filed under the name uncultured bacterium. RNAcentral's name for it is "partial 16S ribosomal RNA". It matches the Rfam family "Bacterial small subunit ribosomal RNA", at positions 524 to 776 of the family's 1533-position model. The record is from RNAcentral.
UACGUAGGGCGCAAGCGUUGUCCGGAAUUAUUGGGCGUAAAGAGCUCGUAGGCGGCCUGUUACGUCUGCUGUGAAAUCCCGGGGCUUAACCCCGGGCGUGCAGUGGAUACGGGCAGGCUGGAGGCAGGCAGGGGAGAACGGAAUUCCCGGUGUAGCGGUGAAAUGCGCAGAUAUCGGGAGGAACACCGGUGGCGAAGGCGGCCUGCUGGGACAGUGCUGACGCUGAGGCGCGACAGCGUGGGGAGCAAACAGG